Molecule: ribosomal RNA, 485 nt
Filed under: uncultured bacterium
Lineage: Bacteria
Description: bacterial SSU rRNA
Rfam family: Bacterial small subunit ribosomal RNA
Source: RNAcentral
CUACGUGCCAGCAGCCGCGGUAAUACGGAGGAUGCGAGCGUUAUCCGGAUUUAUUGGGUUUAAAGGGUGCGUAGGCGGCCUGUUAAGUCAGCGGUGAAAUCUAGGAGCUUAACUCCUAAAUUGCCAUUGAUACUGGCGGGCUUGAGUGUAGAUGAGGUAGGCGGAAUGCGUGGUGUAGCGGUGGAAUGCAUAGAUAUCACGCAGAACUCCGAUUGCGAAGGCAGCUUACUAAGGUACAACUGACGCUGAAGCACGAAAGCGUGGGUAUCAAACAGGAUUAGAUACCCUGGUAGUCCACGCUGUAAACGAUGAUAACUGGGCGUAUGCGAUAUACAGUAUGCUCCUAAGCGAAAGCGUUAAGUUAUCCACCUGGGGAGUACGCCGGCAACGGUGAAACUCAAAGGAAUUGACGGGGGCCCGCACAAGCGGUGGAGCAUGUGGUUUAAUUCGACGCAACGCGAGGAACCUUACCAGCGUUUGACAUC